RNAcentral lists this transfer RNA (87 nucleotides) under Halomonas nitroreducens. RNAcentral's name for it is "tRNA-Leu". It matches the Rfam family "tRNA". From Rfam's summary of the family: Transfer RNA (tRNA) molecules are approximately 80 nucleotides in length. Their secondary structure includes four short double-helical elements and three loops (D, anti-codon, and T loops). Lineage: Bacteria; Pseudomonadati; Pseudomonadota; Gammaproteobacteria; Oceanospirillales; Halomonadaceae. The record is from RNAcentral. RNAcentral also lists the same sequence under 1 other name.
GCCGGUGUGGCGGAAUUGGUAGACGCAGCGGAUUCAAAAUCCGCCGCCCUCACGGGUGUGUCGGUUCGAGUCCGACCACCGGCACCA